CCUGGAACUUGAGCCUGGAGUUGCUCCCUCAGAUAGCUUCCUUGAGACGGUCACAUGAUUCUUACCAUUUUAUGAGGUAAUACCCCUCAUAAUCCUUCACAAUCCUCCAUAAGAUUUUGCAAAUGAGUUUAUAUUCUAAGUCAGUAUUGCCCUCGGCUGCCAGAUCGCUAUGCUUGGCAAAUGAAGAAAAUAGUUCAGAUGAGGAACUAGGAAAGUUUAAGUGA
Molecule: long non-coding RNA, 224 nt
Filed under: Monodelphis domestica (gray short-tailed opossum)
Lineage: Eukaryota; Metazoa; Chordata; Mammalia; Didelphimorphia; Didelphidae
Description: lncRNA (ENSMODG00000050437.1)
Source: RNAcentral